UUUUUUUACAACUAUAAAUUGCAUGUGGCUCUAAUACCAUAAAGGAUUAGAGACAACUAUAAUUGGGUGAAAGCCUGACGAAGCAAUACUGCAUGGAGGUAGAAGGCUCAUGGAUCAUGAACUUCUGCUCUUGAAGAAGAAGUAAUGAAGGUGUCUAAGGAAUAAGCAUCAAUUAGCUCUAGGUCAACAGUCUGUGGUAAUACAGAGAAUGCAAGUAUCAUCUGGAAUGAUUGGACGUAAAGGGUCUGUAGGUGAUUUUUUAAGUCCAUCGUCAAAUCCUAACCCUAGACAGGUGGUGAAAACUACCAAGGUAGAGUAUGGUAAGGGUAGAGGGAACUUUCGAUGGAGUGGUGAAAUACAUAGAGAUCGGAAAGAACACUGCAUGCGUUCAAAGAACCUAACGGUGAUAGUUGAGUGGAAUGCUCCCUGUCUGGUUUAGAAUAAUAAAUUCCAAG
Molecule: non-coding RNA, 455 nt
Filed under: Vitis vinifera (wine grape)
Lineage: Eukaryota; Viridiplantae; Streptophyta; Magnoliopsida; Vitales; Vitaceae
Description: Bacterial small subunit ribosomal RNA
Rfam family: Bacterial small subunit ribosomal RNA
Source: Rfam by way of RNAcentral